Molecule: ribosomal RNA, 585 nt
Filed under: Triticum aestivum (bread wheat)
Lineage: Eukaryota; Viridiplantae; Streptophyta; Magnoliopsida; Poales; Poaceae
Description: partial small subunit ribosomal RNA
Source: RNAcentral
CAACAAAAGGAUGAAAUAGAAAAAGAAGUGAAAGAAAUGCUAGCAGCUGGGAUGAUAACACCCAGUAUGAGUCCAUUUGUUGCUCCUGUGUUGCUAGUAAAAAAGAAAGAUAGCACAUGGAGGUUCUGUGUAGACUACAGAAGGCUGAAUGCAGUGACUAUCAAAAACCAGUUUCAUAUGCUUGUCAUUGAUGAGAUCUUGGAUGAGUUAGGGGGUAUUAAAUGGUUCUCUAAGUUGGACCUCAAAGUUGGUUACCAUCAUAUCAGAAUGAAGGAAGAAGAUGAGUACAAAACAACUUUCAAAACACACCAUGGACAAUUCUAGUUCAGGGUGGUUCCCUUUGGGUUAACAACUGCACCAGGAACAUUUCAAUGUGUUAUGAACUUCAUGUUUGCAGGACCAAACAGAAAAUAUGUGCUAGUUUUUAUGGAUGAGAUCCUUGUAUUCAGUCUCACACUGGAAGAUCAUUUAGAGCAUCUAGAGUAUGUGUUUGACACACUCAAGGCAACCCAGCUGUUUGUUAAAGAAUCCAAGAGUGUUUUUUUCUCAACAGUCCUUAGAAUAUCUAGGGCACAUCAUCUCUAA